This 419-nucleotide unclassified non-coding RNA is filed under the name Hevea brasiliensis (rubber tree). The record is from RNAcentral. Lineage: Eukaryota; Viridiplantae; Streptophyta; Magnoliopsida; Malpighiales; Euphorbiaceae.
AACACGCUGGUUUUUUUUUUUGGGAUGAUAUUGAUAAUGGGUAGGAAAGGUUGAUGAUUUCUACUACCAAAAACUCUAUCAAAACUCCAAUAUUUUUUAAUCACUGGAAAAAAUAAUUUAGUCAUCACCCACGUUCUGUUUUCUGAAUAUUGACCUAAGAAUAAAAAUCAAUUUUGUAAUUUCAAAUCCAUAUCCUGAGAUUGAGUUCUUGAAAUUGAAAAUUUGAUAUUUUAAUAUGUAUAUAAGAAAUGAAUAUCCUUUUCCUUUUCAUAAUUCUCACAGUAAAAUGAAAAAUUCCUACCAAUUAAAUUUAAUUAUUUGAUUAUUAUUAUUAUUAUUUUAGUAAGAGAUUUGAAGAAGGUAAACUAGCUUGAUUGGAUUAUCAAUGUAAUUCAGUGACGCUGUCUGUUAUUUUCAUG